UACGUAGGGUGCAAGCGUUGUCCGGAAUUAUUGGGCGUAAAGAGCUCGUAGGCGGUUUGUUGCGUCGGCUGUGAAAUCCCGAGGCUCAACCUCGGGUCUGCAGUCGAUACGAGCAAACUAGAGUGUUGCAGGGGAGACUGGAAUUCCUGGUGUAGCGGUGAAAUGCGUAGAUAUCUGGAGGAACACCGGUGGCGAAGGCGGCAUCCUGGACCGAUACUGACGCUGAGGAGCGAAAGCCAGGGGAGCAAACGGG
Molecule: ribosomal RNA, 253 nt
Filed under: uncultured bacterium
Lineage: Bacteria
Description: partial 16S ribosomal RNA
Rfam family: Bacterial small subunit ribosomal RNA
Source: RNAcentral